AUGCUUGCUUCAGCAGCACACAUACUGAAACUGGGACCAUACAGAGAAGAUUAGCAUGGCCCCUGCACAAGGAUGACACGCAAAAUUGUGAAGUGUUUCGUAGUUUU
RNAcentral lists this small nuclear RNA (107 nucleotides) under Procavia capensis (Cape rock hyrax). Lineage: Eukaryota; Metazoa; Chordata; Mammalia; Hyracoidea; Procaviidae. The record is from RNAcentral.